GACGAACGCUGGCGGCGUGCCUAAUACAUGCAAGUAGAACGCUGAAGAGAGGAGCUUGCUCUUCUUGGAUGAGUUGCGAACGGGUGAGUAACGCGUAGGUAACCUGCCUUGUAGCGGGGGAUAACUAUUGGAAACGAUAGCUAAUACCGCAUAACAAUGGAUGACACAUGUCAUUUAUUUGAAAGGGGCAAUUGCUCCACUACAAGAUGGACCUGCGUUGUAUUAGCUAGUAGGUGAGGUAACGGCUCACCUAGGCGACGAUACAUAGCCGACCUGAGAGGGUGAUCGGCCACACUGGGACUGAGACACGGCCCAGACUCCUACGGGAGGCAGCAGUAGGGAAUCUUCGGCAAUGGGGGCAACCCUGACCGAGCAACGCCGCGUGAGUGAAGAAGGUUUUCGGAUCGUAAAGCUCUGUUGUAAGUCAAGAACGAGUGUGAGAGUGGAAAGUUCACACUGUGACGGUAGCUUACCAGAAAGGGACGGCUAACUACGUGCCAGCAGCCGCGGUAAUACGUAGGUCCCGAGCGUUGUCCGGGUUUAUUGGGCGUAAAGCGAGCGCAGGCGGUUUGAUAAGUCUGAAGUUAAAGGCUGUGGCUCAACCAUAGUUCGCUUUGGAAACUGUCAAACUUGAGUGCAGAAGGGGAGAGUGGAAUUCCAUGUGUAGCGGUGAAAUGCGUAGAUAUAUGGAGGAACACCGGUGGCGAAAGCGGCUCUCUGGUCUGUAACUGACGCUGAGGCUCGAAAGCGUGGGGAGCGAACAGG
This 765-nucleotide ribosomal RNA is filed under the name uncultured Streptococcus sp. Its description in RNAcentral is "bacterial SSU rRNA". It matches the Rfam family "Bacterial small subunit ribosomal RNA", at positions 28 to 776 of the family's 1533-position model. The record is from RNAcentral. Lineage: Bacteria; Bacillati; Bacillota; Bacilli; Lactobacillales; Streptococcaceae.